UCCCCAAUUAUCCUGUGUUUAUAAGUCCUAGUCCUUUCAGUUUGCAUUUGUUGGUUCAUGAUGUCUGAAUGUCUUCCAAGUGCUCUAUGUUCCCCAUUUGGAUUAUUAAAGACUCUUGUUUCGUGAAUUCCUCAUCUGCUCGUUCCUGGCUUCCUUGUGUAGUGUGACAACUGGUGAAUCAAAGGUAAGUAUUUCUUACAUAUAGUAAAUUCAAUGCAUUUAAAUAAAGAUUUAUUGGUUGAUAUAUUGAGAUUUCGGUUUCUCUCACUGUUUUUCUGGAAAAUCAGAAAAAAGAUGAUUUGAGCUGCAUGGAGAGCUGGACAAUGAUACCACUUCAACUAUCCAGUGACAUGUUCAACACUCUUCAACCACAAGAGGGAGAGUUACAACACAUGCUGCAAAAGAUGAUCAGCAACAUGUGAAAUGGUGUCAACCCACUGAACCAGUUCCAGGAAAAAAUGAGACCGAACUAUAAGCUCUGACUAUCAGCUUUAUCGCCGAAUCACAGGUAAGUCAUAUACUGGAAGAUUUCUCCAUGUUCCAAUCUUCCAAAAUGUUUAGGCUAUGUAAAGAUCAUUAAAAAAAAAAAUGUGAUGCACACAAAAUUUCACAAAUUCUCUGAAGUAGUACAUGUACUGUGCAAGACAUGAAUGAGCUCACUCAUUGCUUUAAGCAUUUGUUGAAUUAGAAUUUAAGCACAGUACUUUCACUUUAAGUAUGCAUUAUCAUAAUUGUUUUUGUAUUAUAUCAAUGCACUGAUUUUGCUUUCUUUUUUUUCCCCCCAGAUUUCUGGUUUUGUGAUGCUCCUUGUCUUGGGCUUUAUAUUAUUAGUGGUUGUUCUUUGUGUCUACCGCUGCACUGGUGAAGAGCCACCGCAAACAAGUAUAUGAUAUAGAUAUAAAUGUGUAUGUGUAAUACAAACAAAUUAAUUAUCUAGAUGGAUUUACAGCUCUUCCUUGUUUCAUCUUGUUAAAUUGUAUUAAUGUUUUUUUUUGUUUGUUUUUUUUUUAAUUUACCUGUUGGUAAAGAAGAAAUAGAAAUGGUAUAUUUCUGCUUCAAAUAAAUCACUUAAUCCACUUCA
Cyprinus carpio (common carp) is the source of this 1081-nucleotide long non-coding RNA. The record is from Ensembl. NCBI's taxonomy places the organism in Eukaryota, Metazoa, Chordata, Actinopteri, Cypriniformes, Cyprinidae.